UGGUGCUGUUCGAUGCCUUAUCUACAACCUGAGGCUCCCUCGUCGUCUUGUUCGUGCCGCUCCCUCGCCUCGCCCUCCCCCGGAUCCGGAGCUGAGCUCCCUACGGUGGCACUCCCUUGCCUCUGCUACCUCGCCUCGCCAUCGCCCGGAUCCGGGGCUCCCGGUGGCGGCGCUCCGUCGUGUCGCGCUCGCUCGGGUCCCGGGCUCCCGGCGGCGGCGGUCGCCUUGUCUCUCCCGGGUCCGGGGCUGCCGGCGGCGGCGCUCCUAGGCCGUCGGCGGCGCGGGCGGCAACAGGCUGCUGGCCGGGUACCUGGCGCACGAGUUCCUACGGCGCAGCACGCUCCUCGGCGAGCGGAGGCUGCAGCCGUCGGGGCGGAAGGAGAAGGAACCCGCCCUUGCCGUCCCCGCGCCCGAGCCGAGCAGGCGCUACGCGGAGGUUUCGCGGCUGCUCAUGGCGGUCGGGGCCCGCAUCCCCGGCGUUGUCAACCCGUCGCAGCUCGGCCGCCGGCUCCGGAUUAAGGAGUGACCGGCCGGCCAUGCCGUGAGACCGCAGGAGCAACGCGCGGAGGGGCGGCAUUGCCUGCUGGUUUGCCUCGCCUCCCCUCAGCGGCCGCGCUCUCUGCCCUCCUCGGCGGACGACCAACCCGAAGAACAGCGGAUGCUUCUGCACACAGCAAGCGGGUCUCUCAUCUCGAUCCGUGCUUCUUCCCUGUUUCUUUGAGCAUUAAAAGACUGCGUCUGUUGCCAUCUUGGGUUCUCCAAAUUUGCAGACGUUGGACCGAUGGUGCCUAUUCAGGGUUAUCUUGUUGUCCAAUUGCGACAGAACCUGUGAUCGGAAACUUUCUACUUCUACUGGACAGCUAGAACAUUACUGAUGAAAACGAGCAGAAAGCUUAGGUGAGAAUUGAUUCAAUAUGAUAAUUUUGGCAUGGCAACUUUAUAGGAGUAUUAACCUCUAUUCCUCGCUCCUCAAUGGAACACAAUAAGGCAAUUUAAGUUUGUCACAACAAACUUUAAACAGAAAAAGGUAUGAAUGUGAUCUCUGUAUAUACAAUAAUUGAUACUUUCAGAUGUUGUGGAGAAAAAAAUAGAGACAUAGUGCACACUACACAUUCAUUACAUGCUAGUUUUUUUUAGACCUAGGCUAGCAGUAUUUUUUCCUUUUUCGGAUGCUUUGGGAAUUAAUCCCAAUUCUAGGAACACACCCCAAAUUCUCAGACAUUGCCAUGCCAGGGACCCAAACAUUAACCAUCAAUAAUUCUAGUUGCGAA
Panicum virgatum (switchgrass) is the source of this 1271-nucleotide long non-coding RNA. RefSeq lists it as uncharacterized. The record is from RefSeq and is a predicted model, not a curated record. The transcript is spliced from 5 exons. NCBI's taxonomy places the organism in Eukaryota, Viridiplantae, Streptophyta, Magnoliopsida, Poales, Poaceae.